Molecule: ribosomal RNA, 434 nt
Filed under: uncultured Alphaproteobacteria bacterium
Lineage: Bacteria; Pseudomonadati; Pseudomonadota; Alphaproteobacteria
Description: bacterial SSU rRNA
Rfam family: Bacterial small subunit ribosomal RNA
Source: RNAcentral
GAGUUUGAUCAUGGCUCAGAACGAACGCUGGCGGCAUGCCUAACACAUGCAAGUCGAACGAGACCUUCGGGUCUAGUGGCGCACGGGUGCGUAACGCGUGGGAAUCUGCCCUUGGGUUCGGGAUAACAGUUGGAAACGACUGCUAAUACCGGAUGAUGUCUUCGGACCAAAGAUUUAUCGCCCAGGGAUGAGCCCGCGUAGGAUUAGCUUGUUGGUGAGGUAAGAGCUCACCAAGGCGACGAUCCUUAGCUGGUCUGAGAGGAUGAUCAGCCACACUGGGACUGAGACACGGCCCAGACUCCUACGGGAGGCAGCAGUGGGGAAUAUUGGACAAUGGGCGAAAGCCUGAUCCAGCAAUGCCGCGUGAGUGAUGAAGGCCUUAGGGUUGUAAAGCUCUUUUACCCGGGAAGAUAAUGACUGUACCGGGAGAAUAA